Molecule: long non-coding RNA, 5038 nt
Organism: Felis catus (domestic cat)
Lineage: Eukaryota; Metazoa; Chordata; Mammalia; Carnivora; Felidae
Exons: 8
Source: RefSeq, a predicted model, not a curated record
AUUUAGUCAGAAGGAGAACCAUCCAUCACAGCACUAUUAACGAGGGGGGUUGGGGGGAGGCAGAAAUAAUCCAAGCUUCCAAAAAACAGUGAUUUUUUUGAAAUGGUACCUUUAUAGAAUAAAACACUAGAUAGACAUUAAAAAUUAUGUUACAGGCAUGUUUAUUGCCACAUUAACAUUCAUGAUGUGUUAAUCGAAAAAAAUCAAAGUACAGUAUGAUCUCACUUUUGCAAGAAAUAAAAAUACAUAUAUCUGUGAUUUUAAAAAUUGGGGGAAGUUACAUGCCAAAUACAAACAGAAUAUGUCAUUUGGUAGUAGGAUUAUGAAUGAGUUCUCCUUAAGUCCUUAUAUGUAUCAGUAUUUUUAAUUUUUUUCCUCUAAGAAAUACAUAUUAAUUGUGUUUUUUGGUUUUUGGUUUUUGUUUUUUUUUUUAGUUAAAAGGAAAAAUGUAUCCUGGGCCUGCUGCUCAAACAUGCACUCUGCCAGCAACAUGCUGUAACUUUAGAAGGAAAAUGAGAUGAAGACUCCAGAGAGACUCUGGAAGGCUAAUAAUAACAGUUAAGUUUUUAUAGUAUUUUAUUUUGGGGUGAAAAUUCUCAAGAGGAUAUGACUUGAAAUUGUUCCAAUGAUACACAUGUGUUCAAGUAUAAAGGUCCUAUGUCUCUAGCUCUAACAAGAGAAAGGAUCCAUAUUGCCAUUGUAACUAUCUUUUGUGAGGAAGCUCAUAAAGAACACCCAUGUAUUUCAUUAUUAUAGUUAAUCAUUGUACUAUUCUUUAAAACAUGGGCUACUCCUUGAAUACUUUUUUUGUGUGUGUGUUUUAAUUCUUGAGAAUUUUAAAGAAUAACCCAUUGCAUUUGCACAGGUUGGGGCAAAUUGUGGGCAGUCCAUAUGGUCCACUAAGGUUUGUCUGUUUCCCAGACACUAUGCUGGGUCCUGGGGAAUAUGGAACUGAAGACGUGUAUUCUUCCCUCGACGUGUUGGUAGGGGACGUGGACCAGUGAACUGACGUCUGUGGCUGAUAAUAGUGGGCAUGCUGUGGCCGGAGUUCUGUGAGCCACAGAAGGGCAUGCCAUCCAGACUCGAGACAUGAGUGGUCAGGAGACACUUCCCCAGAGCAGGUGACAUCUGAGCUGUAUGUUGAAGGAUGUGUGGAAAUUAGCCAAAGAAAAGGAGAAGGGCCUUCUAAGCAUCAGCUCAGAGAAGUAGAAGGGAGCACACCCAGGGACUGGAAAAAGCGAAAUCUGUUGAUCAGUGCUAUCUAGAUGGAAAAGUUCCAUACCUCUGCUGUCCAAAACAGGAGCCACAAGAUAACAUGUGGCUACUGAACAAGAGAACUGAAUUUUAAUUUUCUUUUUUUAAUUUAAAUAGCCGCAUGUGGCUACUGUAUUUUUUACAUCACUUUAUUGAGGCAUGCUUUGAUGUGAUUUAAUGUGGGGUCCUGGAGCAAAUGGUCAAAAAAGAACUCUUGAGAUAUUUUCGGUACAAAAAAGGUGGUUUUUUUAAGGCACAGGGAUAGGAACCAAGGGCAGAAAUAGCUGCUAGUUUUCUGGUGGGGUAGAGACAAAGAAGUUCCCAAAAGAUUUUCAUGGGUUAGAGAGGCCUUACAGGAUCCUGGAGACCUGGCUAUCAUCAAGCUAAGAUUGCUUUUUGCCUUUAGAAAAGCAUUAAGACAGUUGGGAGUUCCUGGAGGAAUGUCCUACUCUGCCUGUCCCAAGUAUUUGUCGAUGGGCUGCAAGUUUUAAGGAAAUUUAAUUUUACUACGUUUCCUUUUGCCUUUGUUCUCCACAUCAUGAUUAACAUACCAAAAAAUUGUACAGAAUCAAUACAACUUGAUAAGUUUGGAGGUAAGUAUAUACCUGUGAAAUCAUCACCACCAUCUAUGCCCUAAACACCUCCAUCGCCUCCAAGGGUUUGCUCCUGCCGUCUUAUUUAUUAUUAUUCUAGGUGUGUGAUAAGAACACUUCACGGAAGAUCUACUCUGGCUACAGUAUUGAACAGCACAACAGCGGUGAGAUCUGCUGCUAGAUCUUUUUCGUCAUUUUUUUCUGGUAUCUGAUUCAGAGCACUCAUGAAUCUUGGACUACAUUCAGCUAUAAUCAUGGGUGAUUCUCCAAGCGAAGGGGCUAAACACUGGCAAACGAAAAGCAGAUUUGUCCACUGCAUUCCUACCCUAAUGGAUGCUGAGAUAAUGGAUGCUCUACAAUCACCCACAAAUUUCCUGGUACUGCUGCUGUUACUGCAAAAUGAUGGCUCCUUCAAAGUAUCAUCUCUUGCCCCUGCCAGAGAAAGCCAGCCUUUAAAAGAAACUAAAUCCAAGGUCACUCACUUCCACAUAAAGAGAAUAUUUUGUCAGCUGCCAAAAUUCAUUUAUCUAAUGUACUCUUACCCAAUAACUUAAGCCUGGUGUGCUGGGCAGAGUCCAACUUGGGUAAUUCCAUUCUCCCAACCAAAUUCCCCCAAGGAGUUUGAACGAGAGAGGACAUUAUUCUUCACUUCUUCAACUCUCCUAUUAUUAAUCAAAAGAAUGCUUUUCAUCCCCAAAGCAUGAUGGGGAUAUGAGGAUAGAAUUUUUAAAAAGGGAUUAUUCUUAAGAAUUGAGUAAUGAGAGAUUCCAUUAUAUAAACUUAGUAAAGUUCUUUGGAAGUAGAGCCUAGAUCCAUUUGUGAAACAAAUAGUUAUUAAAGUAUAUGCCAAGUACUGUUCUCAACACUGCAGAUGGAGCAGGACACAGAAGUAGUUUCUGCUUUCAAGAGGUAGAAAUUAGAAUAAGUUGAUGAGUUUGGAGAGAGGGCCAGAAAUCAGACCAGUUAAGUACUGAUAUGGAGUUUGGAUAUUAUUGUAGGCGCAGCUGGAGAGUAUUGGUGGAGCAAUAUGAUUGAUCAGAUUUUGAGGUCUUUUUAAUAAGACCAUCCCUUCAUGGAUAUCUAUGGGCCAGGGUCCUAGCCUUCUGCUACUUUCCACGGAAUUGAAUCAUUUCAGGAUCAACACAACUGUGGCUGUAAUUUCCUCCCCACAAGCCUUCAAACAGCAUUGAAUCUUGGUUAGCUCAGAGCGCCAAGGAGGCCAAAGCCAUGGUUUGGCCAUACGGCCAUCAGCAUGGCACUGCUCCAUGACAAACCGUACCCCUUCUUCCUCUGUAGCUGGCUGUACUUCAUAGGCUCCCUUUGGUCUCACAGGACACCAGACAAGAAGGUAAAUGAGGAAGAAUUAGUUCAUCUCCACUGCUCCAAGAGCUGCCUAUGACCUGCUGAAGGUAGUUCGGUGGCAAUAUCAAAGAGCGGAAGCAUCUCUACAUAUACGUGACCUAUUGAAUGAUGGUGUUCUUGGAAAGAGCAUUACCACUGACAAAGAACCACUGAAAACUUUCUAUUUAUUGCCCAUCCUGUGAGCAGUGACAAAUAUAAAUAAGAAAAUCAUAACAUCUGAAAAUAAAAGGGGACAUUAGUGGUCAUGAAGUCCAACCUCUCUCCUAAUGUAAGAUUCUUCUAUGCAGACCUGACAAGGAGUCUUCCAGUGUUCUAUACCCUUCCUAUAUCAGAUGGGGUCAGAUGAAUAGCAAUUUAAUUGCGUGUUGUUUUGUUGGUGAGGAAAGAUCAUUAACUGUGGUACCUUUUGCCCAAAGUUGUGGUCUGAAGGGUCAAAGGACAGAUAGAGAAAGUUACAUCUGAAUGAGAAGUUAAGGUUAAGACCUGGAAAAAGAGGACCAAAUAAGUUUUCCAGUCUCAAGUGCAAGAGGGAGAAUAAAGAAUAUGGAACCAAACAAGAAGAUACCCAGGAUGCUGAUGAAUGAGAAAUGUGGAGCAGGUGGAUUAGAGAAACUUUCUGAAUGGUAUCUUAAGAGUUUUGAGACCAUAUCAGAAGCAGCCAAGAGGUCCUUCGUCAAAAAUUUUGGACUCUCUGAUGAGAAUCUACUCCCUUUCUACUAUUCCUCAAUGAAUUCUCCCACUUAGUGUUAUGCGUUGAAUUAUGUCCCCCAAAAAAGAUAUGUUGAAACCCUAAUCCCCAGUACCUCAGGAUGUAACCUUUUUCAGAAAUAGGGUGUUUAUAGAGGUAAUCAAGUUAAAAGGAGAUCAUAAUCCAAUAAUAAUGAUAUCUUCAUCUCCAAUAAAGAGGAGAAAUUUAGACACAGAAAUAGACACCCCAUGGGAAUAAUGCCAUAUGAACAUGAAAGCAGAGAUGGGGUGAUGCAUCUGCAAACCAAUGAACACCAAAGAUUGGGAGCAAACUCCCAGAAGCUAAGAGAGAGGCAUGGAACAAAUUCUUCCUCCCAGACUUCAGAGGGAACCUAUCCUGCUGGCAUCUUGACCUUGGACCUCUAGACUCUGGAACUCUGCUGUGGUUGGGAAGAGGAAGAGAUCUUCAGGCUCAAGAGGCAGAAAGGGCAUGAUGGUUUCAAGAGCAAGAAGCUGGAGGGGUGGGUAAGAAGUGAAGGUUUUCCAGCCCCAUCCUGUCCCACAGGAGAAUCUUCCCUAGAAGGGAGCCCUCAGGCCCUGGGUAUGCUCUCACAUAGUUCCUGGAGGGAACUGCUGAGGGACAUGGAACCCAAUGACCGCAUCAGUUGCCAUUUGCAUGUAGAAGGAACCAUCCCAAUGUAACAUGGCAGAAGACAUAAGAGGGUGGCAGGAGGGGAGCCUGAGGACAAGGCAACAUGACUAAGUGCGAACACAGCACGAAGCCGGGCUCCUCUGAGCAGCUGGAAAGAGGGCUCUCACCUCAUCUCUGGGAAGAGACGGAGGCCAGCCUGACAAAGAGAACGAGAAAACUGCCAGGGGUUAGGUGAGAUACCUUUUAUAUUCAUCCAGAAUUGCUGACCAUAUCAAAAUUCAAAAGAACUUCCUGAGGAUCACAGGAUCAACCUCUGCAUAACCAGCCUCUGAAACUCCAGGAUUCUCAUGAGCCCUUCUCUACUGGCAAAAACACUAGCUAACACUCACUGAGCAUUUACGAUGUGCCAGACACCAUUCUAAAUACAUUUAUGUAUAAAUGCAUAGAGUAAUUUAUUCAUUCAGCAAAUAUUUAUUGAGUGACCACUAUU